AUUGAACGCUGGCGGCAUGCUUUACACAUGCAAGUCGAACGGCAGCGCGGGCUUCGGCCUGGCGGCGAGUGGCGAACGGGUGAGUAAUGCAUCGGAACGUGCCCAGUAGUGGGGGAUAGCCCGGCGAAAGCCGGAUUAAUACCGCAUACGACCUGAGGGUGAAAGCGGGGGACCGAAAGGCCUCGCGCUAUUGGAGCGGCCGAUGUCGGAUUAGCUAGUUGGUGGGGUAAAGGCUUACCAAGGCGACGAUCCGUAGCUGGUCUGAGAGGACGACCAGCCACAUGGGGACAGAGACACGCCCCGCCCCCCUGGGGGAGGGGGGAGGGGGGAAUUGGGGACAGGGGGGGAAACCCUUACCCCGCCAUGCCGCGGGGGAAAAGAGGGUCUUGGGGUGGUAAGCCUUUUUUGUGGGGGAAAAACUCCUGUGGGCAAACCCCCGGGGGGGAUGAGGGUACGGAAAAAAAAAGCACCGGAAAACUACGGC
This 484-nucleotide ribosomal RNA is filed under the name uncultured bacterium. RNAcentral describes it as "partial 16S ribosomal RNA". It matches the Rfam family "Bacterial small subunit ribosomal RNA", at positions 29 to 508 of the family's 1533-position model. The record is from RNAcentral.